This is a long non-coding RNA of Corvus moneduloides (New Caledonian crow), 3434 nucleotides long. The record is from Ensembl. NCBI's taxonomy places the organism in Eukaryota, Metazoa, Chordata, Aves, Passeriformes, Corvidae.
CUCUUGGCUGAUUCUGACGUUUCAUUUUCAUCAUUUUCUGGCAGUUUUACAUGACCUGUAUGCAUACCUCUGUCCAACCACAGAGAUGAGAAAAGGAAGCUUAAUAGAUCCAAUUGGUACUGAAUAUAGUUUAUUUCAUAAAAUCCAUUGGUGCUUGUGGUGUGGCACUGUACAGGUCAGUUAAAGACAGUAGUUUCAAAUGGUUUUUUUGCAGUAUAAGAACAUAAGGCACAGAAAGGGCAUCUCUGAAGGCAUGGGAAGGACUUUACUGAGAGUUGGAGUCUGGGACAAUAGGAGAGAGAAAAAAUCAUUUUGUAUUUCUCUAUUAUUAUAUUCCUUCCUCAGACAUUUGCCACCGGAGACUCUGAGACAGCCCACAAGGCUGGAAGGACCUCUGCAGUGCCCCUGUCCGUCUGGGCUUGAAUGCUCGUUCCCAGGGUCAAGGACCAAAGGAAGAUGUGCAGGAACCGUGGAAAUUCCCGGUGGAGCAGCUACACACACUCCCAGAGCUGCCACGGAAGAUCCAUAACUUGGGCUCCAUUCCAUCAGGAUGAGUGGUCAGGACAGGAGAAACAGCAUACUUGAUUGUUGGUCACCAGCCCGGCUUGGGUUGUCAUCACACUCCUCGCUCCUCUCAAAAUUCAUUCUUCACCAGUUCAGGCCAUUCCUGCAACAUACAACUGCUGCAUUACCCACCAAGUACACCUGAGUCCUUGGGUAAAGACAAUCCCAUGAAUGGGUUUGCCUUUUCCCAUGGCAGGAAAAAUCCACAUCAACUUCCCCAGGCACUUCCCUAUGUGUAGUAUGGGAAUGUUGUCCCCUCUCACAUUGUGUAGGGGUAUUUUUGGGCAGGACUAAAGUGGUUGGCAGAUCCUGUAGUGUUAAUCAGCCAAGUGGCAUCUGCUGAGUUUACAUCCCAAUGCUUCUAUGCCCAAUGCUUUUACCAUAGUCUUCAGCAGCCCUUUAUACCUCUCCAUCUUUCCAGAGUGCUGGGGGAGAUAAGGCACAUAAUACAUCCACUCAAUACCGUGUUGCCCAAGAGUUUAUAAGGUUACUUCUAAAAUGAGUCCCCUUGUCUGAAUUGAUUCUCUCUGGGUUAUGUCACCAUAAAAUGUGUCUCUCAAGGCCUGAGAUGGUGUUUGGAGCAGUGGCAAUGGCUUUCAGCCAGACAGCCAGCCAAUGUCUCUGCCAUGGUGGCUCUGCAGCUCUUGCAGUGUAAUGUGACACAAUGUGUCCUAGCUCUCACCACCUCUGUAGGAGUCUUUCCUUGUCCCCCACAUACAGAAAUCAAAACAACAUAGAAUAACCUUUCAACCCUAUCACAACUCCUGUCCUAAACCCUAGUAGACAAUUUCUUUAUUCUCAGAUGAGUAGGUAGCCAAGCAGUAGAACAUCCAUUCAUUAUCAUCAGACAAUUUGCCUCCCUCACCUACUUCAUAAUUCCCUUAAUCCUAUUCCUGUUGUUGGAGCUUUAGAAAACAAAUUACUUAACCUCUAAAACUACUCUAAUAGUUUAUAAGAACUUUGGUCUUGUAAACCGAAGAUUGAAGAUUAUACCUCUUCUUAGAGUCCUUUCCCUUCAGAAAGAAAACCUUUAUCUCCAACUCCCAAAGUUGCUAUUUUAAAUUAAACUACUUUUUGACUUCUCUCUACCCUAAACUGCACAAAUCCCUCCCCAAAUAGCCCCCAUAAAAGUUAUAAGACAAAAAAAAUUAGCAACAACCCCAAACCUGCAACCAAAACCCACCCUGGUCCCCAUGGAUAGAACACAGCUACACCAAUAAAAUCCAAUCACACAGAAAAUAUACCUCCACUAUCAACAGUGUCUACACCAAACCACAACUCAGCACUACUGGAAUCAUAACCAAAGCUUGUCACACACCAUAACCAACAAAUCUCCCCAAGUUUCUGGAAAGGGUCCACUGCCAGAGACAGAGUAAACAAAACCCACUUAUGUUCUGCCCAAAUAUGCUAAAAACAGCGCCAGUGACACAAAGGAGGUACCUGCACUCAUCAGCUACCCACACCCAGCAACAGAUGCCAAUACUAAACCAUGAUAAUAAGAAGAACUGGGCGCAAUUGCCAAUUCUCCUAAAAUAAAGCAUGCACCCAAAAAUAUAACAAAAUUUCUCAUAAUAAUUUCUGCUUAGCCUUCCUCCAAGACUUAUGGUUAUAUUACAUUAACAAUGAUUUUCAUUAUUAUAAUGGAAAAUCUCCAUUUUGCAGCUGGAGAAAUACAAAUUUAUCAGAAACCUGGUUUAUGUGGUGGAUUGGGGGUUUUUUUUUUGGUUGGGUCCUGCCCCUCUUUCCACUGUAAGUAAAAUUAUAGGGCCAAAGAGUUCUGCUUUCCUCUGGGCAGAGAGCUCAGGCGUGGAGGGGGUCUCAGCUUGUGUAGGCACAGCCACCUGCUGGCACACUGAGGACCUGCUUAGAGAAGGGUCGAGGGUGUGAACAAGAAUAAAUGCGAUGUAUUUACACAGUAAAGAGCUGCAGAACGCGUGUCACAAUGGCCACGAGAGGGCAGAAGCAUCCCAAGAUUAGGUCUCCAGCUCCUCGGUGGCUUUCCCUCCCCUGGAUUUCUUUUACAUUCGAAUUCAUAAAAUACUCUUUGAACAAAAAUGUAAGCACAUGACUUAAUGCAAUUAUGACAAGAUGUAUUAUUAGCUCAGUCCUAAACAAACAAACAAAAAACCCCAACAAGCCUGGGUUGAUUUUUGUUUAUGGUCUGAUGGAAAGAUAGUUUUCUUGGGAACAGGGGGCUUCAGGAUCUUUAUAGCAUUCUUGCUUCCUCUCACACAUUUCUCUUAAUACACAGUGGCAAGACAAGUUCUAUCACUCGAGAAAAGAGAAAAUGAAGAAAAUAUGCUAAUUUCUUCAGGUACGACAGUCUUUAAAGCAUUAUCUUCCCUUUGCCACUGUUUGUUUACUCAUCUUUUGGUUCUGAUACCAAGAGGUUGUUUUUAUGUAUUUGACUUUAGUUAUGUAAGUAUCUUUGCUAAUUCCACUGAGGCCAUAACAGUAAAGCAAAAAUACAAGAAAUUUUGGGAUUAUGGCCUAAUGCACAGAUAACACCAGUCCAGGAAAUCUCUCUAUGCACAGAAAUUAGCUCCAAAAUUGUUUCUAAUUACUUCAAAGAAGCAUGAUGAAAUUGUUCUCUUUCCAUCAAAUUACAUAAAUCUCUGGUUUUAAAGCUUAAAUCCAAAUUUGAAUCUGUUCCUUCCUGCCAACAGCUCUGGAUCUGACAGGCACACAACAUCCCCCCUGUGCACAGAAAUGUUCUCAUGAGCCCUGCUCUGCUGGCAGAUGGGUUCCAGCAGUCUGGAUGAGCCCACAUCGUCAAGCAGAAACUCUGUUGGACUGGGGACAGAAUCUGAGCCACUCCAAAUAGUUCCAGAACAUCUCAGUGAAAAAAUAAGCCUUUACUUUAGAUGUCU